Long non-coding RNA from Electrophorus electricus (electric eel), 504 nucleotides. RefSeq lists it as uncharacterized. NCBI's taxonomy places the organism in Eukaryota, Metazoa, Chordata, Actinopteri, Gymnotiformes, Gymnotidae. The record is from RefSeq and is a predicted model, not a curated record.
CAUUGUAGAACGACUCGCUCUGUAUUGUGCGCUGCAUCAUGAAGCUUCGAGUGAUGAACCUUUUUUUGAUAGUUAGGAAAACAUGAAACGUUACGUGUUUCAGGUUCAAGUUCGACAUUUAACGGGACUUUAGCUCGUCCCCCAGACCAGAGUCUUAACAAACAUUAUCGCGCUUGUGUGAGAAGCUGAGAGGAGACGCGAGUAGCUGCUUGUUGUGGCGCUUCGGCUCAUCUCCAUAUGAGUCAUGGACUUGUGUCUGGUGUGUGUGUGCUCACCAUGGCUGGCACAUCCCUGCCCUGCAGGUAUCAGUCAUGGUUAAGGUCAACAACCAGACUCAGUACCGUUACAGCCAGGACUCACCGGUGGUGUUUGUGGGUGGGCUGCCCCACUCUGGCACCACACUGAUGUAGGACAUUCUCAUAUGUAACACUUUUACUGAGUGUGUGUGUGUACAGUUGGUUAUGUGCUGUGAGUGAUGUGUAACACUGUUACUGAAUGUGUGUG